UCAGAUUGAACGCUGGCGGAAUGCUUUACACAUGCAAGUCGAGCGGCAGCGCGGGGCAACCUGGCGGCGAGCGGCGAACGGGUGAGUAAUGCAUCGGAACAUGUCCAUUCGUGGGGGAUAGCCCGGCGAAAGCCGGAUUAAUACCGCAUACGCCCGAGAGGGGAAAGUGGGGGACCGCAAGGCCUCACGCGAUUGGGUUGGCCGAUGUCCGAUUAGCUAGUUGGUGGGGUAAAGGCUUACCAAGGCGAUGAUCGGUAGCUGGUCUGAGAGGAUGAUCAGCCACACUGGGACUGAGACACGGCCCAGACUCCUACGGGAGGCAGCAGUGGGGAAUUUUGGACAAUGGGGGCAACCCUGAUCCAGCCAUUCCGCGUGAGUGAAGAAGGCCUUCGGGUUGUAAAGCUCUUUUGUCCGGAACGAAACGGUUGCGGUGAAUACCCGCGACUACUGACGGUACCGGAAGAAUAAGCACCGGCUAACUACGUGCCAGCAGCCGCGGUAAUACGUAGGGUGCGAGCGUUAAUCGGAAUUACUGGGCGUAAAGCGUGCGCAGGCGGUUUUGUAAGCCAGAUGUGAAAUCCCCGGGCUUAACCUGGGAAUGGCAUUUGGGACUGCAAGGCUUGAGUUUGGCAGAGGAGACUGGAAUUCCU
This 650-nucleotide ribosomal RNA is filed under the name uncultured bacterium. RNAcentral describes it as "bacterial SSU rRNA". It matches the Rfam family "Bacterial small subunit ribosomal RNA", at positions 24 to 671 of the family's 1533-position model. The record is from RNAcentral.